This 375-nucleotide ribosomal RNA is filed under the name uncultured organism. Its description in RNAcentral is "partial 16S ribosomal RNA". It matches the Rfam family "Bacterial small subunit ribosomal RNA", at positions 527 to 897 of the family's 1533-position model. The record is from RNAcentral.
GGAGGGUGCAAGCGUUAAUCGGAAUUACUGGGCGUAAAGCGCGCGUAGGCGGUUUAGUCAGUCGGAUGUGAAAGCCCAGGGCUCAACCUUGGAAUUGCAUUCGAUACUGCUUGACUAGAGUAUGGUAGAGGGAAGUGGAAUUUCCGGUGUAGUGGUGAAAUGCGUAGAUAUCGGAAGGAACACCAGUGGCGAAGGCGACUUCCUGGGCCAAUACUGACGCUGAGGUGCGAAAAGCGUGGGGAGCAAAACGGGGGAUUAGAUACCCUGGUAGUCCACGCCGUAAACGAUGAGAACUAGAUGUUGGGAGGGUUACCUCUCGGUGUCGCAGCUAAACGCAUUAAGUUCUCCGCCUGGGGGAGUACGCCGCAACGGUAA